UAAUGAUUGGCUUUGAAAGGUAGACUUCAA
This 30-nucleotide non-coding RNA is filed under the name Mus musculus (house mouse). Lineage: Eukaryota; Metazoa; Chordata; Mammalia; Rodentia; Muridae. The record is from RNAcentral.